UGCGCAGGCGGCCUGGUAAGUCAGGGGUGAAAUAUGACGGCUCAACCGUCAAACUGCCCCUGAAACUGUCAGGCUUGAGUUCGAGAGAGGUAGGUGGAAUUCCAGGUGUAGCGGUGAAAUGCGUAAAUAUCUGGAGGAACACCGGUGGCGAAGGCGGCCUACUGGCUCGAUACUGACGCUCAGGCACGAAAGCAUGGGGAGCGAACAGGAUUAGAUACCCUGGUAGUCC
This 229-nucleotide ribosomal RNA is filed under the name uncultured bacterium. RNAcentral describes it as "partial 16S ribosomal RNA". It matches the Rfam family "Bacterial small subunit ribosomal RNA", at positions 568 to 796 of the family's 1533-position model. The record is from RNAcentral.